RNAcentral lists this ribosomal RNA (254 nucleotides) under uncultured bacterium. RNAcentral's name for it is "partial 16S ribosomal RNA". It matches the Rfam family "Bacterial small subunit ribosomal RNA", at positions 524 to 776 of the family's 1533-position model. The record is from RNAcentral.
UACAGAGGGUGCAAGCGUUGUUCGGAAUUAUUGGGCGUAAAGCGCGUGUAGGCGGCUUGGCAAGUCAGAUGUGAAAGCCCCCCGGCUUAACCGAGGAAGUGCGUCUGAAACUGCUGAGCUUGAGUGUCGGAGAGGAUGGCGGAAUUCCGCAAGUAGAGGUGAAAUUCGUAGAUAUGCGGAGGAACACCGGUGGCGAAGGCGGCCAUCUGGACGACUACUGACGCUGAGACGCGAAAGCGUGGGGAGCAAACAGG